This 497-nucleotide ribosomal RNA is filed under the name uncultured bacterium. RNAcentral's name for it is "partial 16S ribosomal RNA". It matches the Rfam family "Bacterial small subunit ribosomal RNA", at positions 28 to 507 of the family's 1533-position model. The record is from RNAcentral.
GAUGAACGCUGGCGGCGUGCCUAAUACAUGCAAGUCGAGCGAACAGACGAGGAGCUUGCUCCUCUGACGUUAGCGGCGGACGGGUGAGUAACACGUGGAUAACCUACCUAUAAGACUGGGAUAACUUCGGGAAACCGGAGCUAAUACCGGAUAAUAUAUUGAACCGCAUGGUUCAAUAGUGAAAGACGGUUUUGCUGUCACUUAUAGAUGGAUCCGCGCCGCAUUAGCUAGUUGGUAAGGUAACGGCUUACCAAGGCAACGAUGCGUAGCCGACCUGAGAGGGGGAUCGGCCACACGGGAACUGAGACACGGUCCAGACUCCUACGGGAGGCAGCAGUAGGGAAUCUUCCGCAAUGGGCGAAAGCCUGACGGAGCAACGCCGCGUGAGUGAUGAAGGUCGUCGGAUCGUAAAACUCUGUUAUUAGGGAAGAACAAAUGUGUAAGUAACUAUGCACGUCUUGACGGUACCUAAUCAGAAAGCCACGGCUAACUACGUG